GACGAACGCUGGCGGCGUGCUUAACACAUGCAAGUCGAACGGAAAGGCCCUGCCUUUGUGGGGUGCUCGAGUGGCGAACGGGUGAGUAACACGUGAGUAACCUGCCCUUGACUUUGGGAUAACUUCAGGAAACUGGGGCUAAUACCGGAUAGGAGCUCCUGCUGCAUGGUGGGGGUUGGAUAGUUUCGGUGGUUGGGGUUGGACUCGCGGCCUAUCGGCUUGUUGGUGGGGUAGUGGCAUACCAAGGCUUUGACGGGUAGCCGGCCUGCGAUGGUAACCGGCCACAUUGGGCCUGGGAUGCGGCCCAGACUCCUCCGGGACGCAGCGGUGGGGAAGAUUGCACUAUGGGCGGAAGCCUGGUGCAGCAACGCCGCGUGCGGGAUGACGGCCUUCGGGUUGUAAACCGCUUUCGCCUGUGACGAAGCGUGAGUGACGGUACUGGGUAAAGAAGCACCGGCUAACUACGUG
Molecule: ribosomal RNA, 468 nt
Filed under: uncultured bacterium
Lineage: Bacteria
Description: partial 16S ribosomal RNA
Rfam family: Bacterial small subunit ribosomal RNA
Source: RNAcentral